Molecule: ribosomal RNA, 792 nt
Filed under: uncultured bacterium
Lineage: Bacteria
Description: bacterial SSU rRNA
Rfam family: Bacterial small subunit ribosomal RNA
Source: RNAcentral
CCGGCGCACGGGUGCGUAACGCGUAUGCAAUCUACCUUUCACAGAGGGAUAGCCCAGAGAAAUUUGGAUUAAUACCUCAUAGUAUUAUGAAAUGGCAUCAUUUUAUAAUUAAAGUCACAACGGUGAAAGAUGAGCAUGCGUCCCAUUAGCUAGUUGGUAAGGUAACGGCUUACCAAGGCUACGAUGGGUAGGGGUCCUGAGAGGGAGAUCCCCCACACUGGUACUGAGACACGGACCAGACUCCUACGGGAGGCAGCAGUGAGGAAUAUUGGACAAUGGGCGCAAGCCUGAUCCAGCCAUGCCGCGUGCAGGAUGACGGUCCUAUGGAUUGUAAACUGCUUUUGCACAGGAAGAAACAACUCUACGUGUAGAGUCUUGACGGUACUGUGAGAAUAAGGAUCGGCUAACUCCGUGCCAGCAGCCGCGGUAAUACGGAGGAUCCAAGCGUUAUCCGGAAUCAUUGGGUUUAAAGGGUCCGUAGGCGGUUUAGUAAGUCAGUGGUGAAAGCCCAUCGCUCAACGGUGGAACGGCCAUUGAUACUGCUAGACUUGAAUUAUUAGGAAGUAACUAGAAUAUGUAGUGUAGCGGUGAAAUGCUUAGAGAUUACAUGGAAUACCAAUUGCGAAGGCAGGUUACUACUAAUGGAUUGACGCUGAUGGACGAAAGCGUGGGUAGCGAACAGGAUUAGAUACCCUGGUAGUCCACGCCGUAAACGAUGGAUACUAGCUGUUGGAAGCAAUUUCAGUGGCUAAGCGAAAGUGAUAAGUAUCCCACCUGGGGAGUACGUUCGCA